RNAcentral lists this ribosomal RNA (407 nucleotides) under uncultured bacterium. RNAcentral describes it as "partial 16S ribosomal RNA". It matches the Rfam family "Bacterial small subunit ribosomal RNA", at positions 30 to 526 of the family's 1533-position model. The record is from RNAcentral.
AUUGAACGCUAGCGGGAUGCCUUACACAUGCAAGUCGAACGGAGUGGCGAACGGGUGAGUAAUGUAUCGGAACGUGCCCAGUCGCGGGGGAUAACUACGCGAAAGCGUAGCUAAUACCGCAUACUAUUGGAGCGGCCGAUGUCGGAUUAGCUAGUUGGUGGGGUAAGGGCUCACCAGGGCGACGAUCCGUAGCGGGUUUGAGAGGACGACCAGCCACACGGGGACUUGGACACGGCCCAGACUCCUACGGGAGGCAGCAGGGGGGAAUGUUGGACAAUGGGGGAAACCCUGAUCCAGCCAUCCCGCGUGUGCGAUGAAGGCCUACGGGUUGUAAAGCACUUUUGGCAUGAAAGCGGUACCUGCAGAAUAAGCACCGGCUAACUACGUGCCAGCCGCCGCGGUAAUAC